CAAUUAUAAAUGACUUCUUACAACUCUUUAGUGUCAAAAUAUAUUUUGUUGAAGUUAACAAAAAAAAUAAAAUUAUUACUUAUAAAAUAAUCAAAAUUUAAUAAGUAUUACAUGCAAAGUAGGAAAUUAUGGCUCAACUUCUCACGUUUGUUUAUGCUUUGAUCAUCUUUCUUUCUCUAUUUCUUAUCAUAACAAGCAGAACUCGAUUGCCCUGUGAGAAGGACGAUGAUUGUCCAGAUGCAUUUUUGCCACCGGUUAUGAAAUGUAUUGAUAAUUAUUGUGAGUACGAGAUACCGUCAUAAUUAAGUAAAUAAUGUAUUGAAUAUCGGAGUAAUAAUUAAGUUUAAAACUAAAUUGUGCUAUUAUUGUUAAAAUUAUUAUAAUUAUGUGGUUAUGUUAACGAGUGUCCCAAGGACACUGAUUAAGAAUUUCAAAUAUAAAAAAAUAUUAUUUAAUUAAAUCAAUAAUUUAAACUUCCAA
Vicia villosa (hairy vetch) is the source of this 480-nucleotide long non-coding RNA. RefSeq lists it as uncharacterized. Lineage: Eukaryota; Viridiplantae; Streptophyta; Magnoliopsida; Fabales; Fabaceae. The record is from RefSeq and is a predicted model, not a curated record. The transcript is spliced from 2 exons.